AGCAGCCGCGGUAAUUCCAGCUCCAAUAGCGUAUAUUAAAGUUGUUGCAGUUAAAAAGCUCGUAGUUGAAUUUCGGGGUUAGUAGGUUGGUCAUGCCUCUGGUAUGUACUGGUCUCACUGAUUCCUCCUUCCUUAUGAACCGUAAUGCCAUUAAUUUGGUGUUGCGGGGAAUUUGGACUGUUACUUUGAAAAAUUAGAGUGUUUAAAGCAAGCUAACGCUUGAAUACAUUAGCAUGGAAUAAUGAAAUAGGACGUUCGAUCUUAUUUUGUUGGUUUCUAGGAUUGACGUAAUGAUUAAUAGGGAUAGUUGGGGGCAUUAGUAUUCAAUUGUCAGAGGUGAAAUUCUUGGAUUUAUUGAAGACUAACUACUGCGAAAGCAUUUGCCAAGGAUGUUUUCAUUAAUCAAGAACGAAAGUUAGGGGAUCGAAGACGAUCAGAUACCGUCGUAGUCUUAACCAUAAACUAUGCCGACUAGGGAUCGGGAUGAUGUUAAUUUUUUAAUGUACUCAUUCGGCGCCUU
RNAcentral lists this ribosomal RNA (520 nucleotides) under uncultured Glomus. RNAcentral describes it as "SSU rRNA". It matches the Rfam family "Eukaryotic small subunit ribosomal RNA", at positions 569 to 1089 of the family's 1831-position model. Lineage: Eukaryota; Fungi; Glomeromycota; Glomeromycetes; Glomerales; Glomeraceae. The record is from RNAcentral.